GAACAGAAGGUCCCCCUGGCCCCUCCUGUUCCUUUCCCAAGACUGCCUUAAAGCUUACUGGGAAAGCCACUGCCUUAUUGUCUCAGAGUCUAUGACUGUCGUCUCUAGGAUCGCUAAACGCGAGCCAUCGAGUAAGCCUUUUUCCCUAAUCCUUGUCCGGUUAGGGCCUUAACUGAGGUUCAGUGGUUAUUAUACGAGUUUAACUUUGCAGAGUUAUUUCCCUGUAUCUAAGUCCGGAACUUAUAAGAUAACUGAACAGGUACGGCCGCUAGAGACUACUAGCUUCAACAAAUACAAAACUCCUAACUAUAUAGGGUCCGGAAAAAGCAUAUGUGAGUUAACACUCUGGAAGGGAAGUUACUCCAGGGUUGGAGUAACGACCGAUCUCACAGGAAAGGUUUCAUAUAAGAAUACAAGCCAGCCCACAUAAGUCUACAUAUGCCUAACAGAGCGAAUUGCUUCGCGAAGGGACCGGAGAGCGCUGCGGUAUGUUUGGGCUGCAGCAGCGCUCGGAGCCCUGAG
This 522-nucleotide long non-coding RNA is filed under the name Panax ginseng (ginseng). RNAcentral's name for it is "long non-coding RNA (PGIN_LNC009538)". The record is from RNAcentral. Lineage: Eukaryota; Viridiplantae; Streptophyta; Magnoliopsida; Apiales; Araliaceae.